Molecule: non-coding RNA, 75 nt
Organism: Haemonchus placei
Lineage: Eukaryota; Metazoa; Nematoda; Chromadorea; Rhabditida; Trichostrongylidae
Source: Rfam
GACCCAAACUUGAAGUAGAGCAGGUUAGAAGGAUCAUCCGACCCUACUAAACUACUUUACUACGAGUUUGUGCCC